GAUGAACGCUGGCGGCGUGCCUAAUACAUGCGAGUCGAGCGAACGGACGAGAAGCUUGCUUCUCUGAUGUUAGCGGCGGACGGGUGAGUAACACGUGGAUAACCUACCUAUAAGACUGGGAUAACUUCGGGAAACCGGAGCUAAUACCGGAUAAUAUUUUGAACCGCAUGGUUCAAAAGUGAAAGACGGUCUUGCUGUCACUUAUAGAUGGAUCCGCGCUGCAUUAGCUAGUUGGUAAGGUAACGGCUUACCAAGGCAACGAUGCAUAGCCGACCUGAGAGGGUGAUCGGCCACACUGGAACUGAGACACGAUCCAGACUCCUACGGGAGGCAGCAGUAGGGAAUCUUCCGCAAUGGGCGAAAGCCUGACGGAGCAACGCCGCGUGAGUGAUGAAGGUCUUCGGAUCGUAAAACUCUGUUAUUAGGGAAGAACAUAUGUGUAAGUAACUGUGCACAUCUUGACGGUACCUAAUCAGAAAGCCACGGCUAACUACGUG
RNAcentral lists this ribosomal RNA (497 nucleotides) under uncultured bacterium. RNAcentral's name for it is "partial 16S ribosomal RNA". It matches the Rfam family "Bacterial small subunit ribosomal RNA", at positions 28 to 507 of the family's 1533-position model. The record is from RNAcentral.